UGGCUCAGAUGGUAAAGCGUCUGCCUGAAAUGUAGGAGACCCGGGUUCAAUCCCUGG
Molecule: transfer RNA, 57 nt
Filed under: Ovis aries (sheep)
Lineage: Eukaryota; Metazoa; Chordata; Mammalia; Artiodactyla; Bovidae
Rfam family: tRNA
About the family: Transfer RNA (tRNA) molecules are approximately 80 nucleotides in length.
Source: Rfam by way of RNAcentral